Cucurbita maxima (winter squash) is the source of this 829-nucleotide long non-coding RNA. RefSeq lists it as uncharacterized. The transcript is spliced from 3 exons. The record is from RefSeq and is a predicted model, not a curated record. NCBI's taxonomy places the organism in Eukaryota, Viridiplantae, Streptophyta, Magnoliopsida, Cucurbitales, Cucurbitaceae.
GCAACGUUCUCAAGCUCUCUGCAACAUUCUUCACAGUUCGUUACCGCCUUUCCUCUCUGUUCAUGCUUCCAUACUCGGCUGGUAACCGUCUUCUCUUCGCGUCGUCGCCGUCUUUCGCUUCCUUAUGCUCUUCUUCGAUCCUUGAGUUGCAUCCGCCGUGUGUAGCGCAGCAAUACGGCGGCCACCAGACUCCGAUCCGCCUUCCGAGAAGGAUCCGUUCGUCUAAUAGGUAGGAAAUUUUGCUCAAUACGUUUUAAAUAUGUCGUAAAUCAUACCGGAAAAAAAUUAUCGCAUUUGGAGCGUGCGAUUCUGAUGCAUGUGCAGCUACUCUUUGGAAUUUCUCAUUUAGUAUGUGAGCAGAGCAAAUGCCAAUUAUGAAGAAAUUCGUAAACUAAAUCUGAGUAUCCAUGUUUAGCUGUAAGUGGAAAGGCAUUUUCCGCAUCCAUGACAGUUGUUUUAUUGGAAGAGUAAUGGCUGUUUUUAGGAUUCAAAUUCAGUUCCGCGUGUAAGAUGAAGGAAGAGUGUAUUCUAUUCUAGCCCCUUAUAUAGCUGCUGGCGAUUUUUGGUCUUUAAAGGGAAUGUUAGUCCUUCAGAUCCUAUUGCGUUAAUUGCUGCUGCUGCUGCUGCUAAAAGAGAUCUGCCAAUGAAAAUCAUGGAAGAAAGGGACUCAACGCUCUGUUUGCAAAAUCCGUUCACAGUCCAACUUUCUGACCAGCCUUAAUACUAAUCAAUUCACACAGCUAAUGGAGAUGGGUUGAAGAUGGUUGGGAGGGAUUCUGAUGUUGGCUAACUAAGGAGAUAUUAUGAAUUUAUAAAUAAGGAAUAUAUU